CACAUAUCGGAAAAUCUAAAACAUAAAAUUUCAGGACCCGUAUCUUCCUCUGCAACACAUAACCCUAGCUGCGCCUCCACAUAAUUCUUUCUUCUUCUUCUUCCUUUCUAUCUUGGGAGUACUCUUUUUGAGAAGCGAUGGCUACAACAGUUUUGUUUCAGAGGUUUUAAGCCUUCGAUCAGUUAACCCUUUUUCAAUUUCAUCGUAUUUUCAGUUAAUUUUGUCAGCGAGAAGUUAGAAGCUGAAGAUGGCUACCAUUGAUUUUGUUGAUGGAUGUGGAGAUUACGGUUGGUUAUAGAGUUCUCAUGAUAUGUAUCAGGAAAAAUGGGUUUGAUUUCGAUUGAAUAACAAGGGAAACGGACAGAGUUUUCACGAUUACUAUGAGAGUUCCAGAAAUGAUGGAGAAGAAGACUGAUACACUUUCAAGAAGGGGUAGAGGGAAUCUGGAAAGGUGUUAGUUUACUCGAAUCACAAAGAGGGUUUAAUGAGCUGUUUGCAGGGGCAACUAUGGAACUCAGCUAAAAGAUGAUCUUACCAAACGUAAACAUGGGUGACGACACUGGUGGUAGUGGGGCAAGCCAAUAUAGUUUUGAAAAUGUUGUGGGAGGAGUUGUUGGGGAAUUCUCAUAGAGGAUUAGGAGCUGCAAGCUCUUUUUGAGGACUCAUGGAAAUUAAUUUCGGAGGGCAGUAGAUCCGAAGUCGUUUAACGGUGUAAUGGGGCAUUCCUGCACCCCUACGCACGCUAAGAUUCUCCCCUAUCAAGCUAUGCCUGCAUAUGGUUUAUAGACAUCAAGGAAUUGAGAGACACAAAAAGUACCAUCGGGGCAGUAGGUGGGAACUCUUCAAAGGAAAAUACAAGACGACACUAACAGUACAUCAUCCACUUCAAAUAGAUCACUCGGGAGCCCAUAAACUUAUGCUUUGCAAGUUUAAUUAUCUAGCUGAAUUGAAGUCAAGUUCACAUUCAAGUUCAUAUUCACCAUGUUGUACACAUGAUUCUUAUAAUUCAUGGCUACACAUCAGAUGCCUGGACUUCUACUUUAAUACCAAUUGGCAAUAAGCUCAUAUAUAUUUAGCAUGAAUGCAAAAGUUUGGCUUUAUUAAUGCAAAUGUGGUUGUCUGGCGUUGAUCAGCAAUGAUGUACUGGGUAUGUCAAAUCCUACUUGAAUCAUGAAACUUACUUUUAGCAUUCCUGUUAAUUAGAGUUUUACUGACUUACCUAGA
Molecule: long non-coding RNA, 1224 nt
Organism: Papaver somniferum (opium poppy)
Lineage: Eukaryota; Viridiplantae; Streptophyta; Magnoliopsida; Ranunculales; Papaveraceae
Exons: 5
Source: RefSeq, a predicted model, not a curated record